UGUUCUCUGUUUUGUGGGCUGAAUAUUUUUGAGCAGGGAUGGCAUUAUUUAGAGCUUUUUAUUGGUAGCCUACUGAGUGCUCAAACCUGUGCUAGUCCCUAUAGGGAAUAUGGAAAGACUUCUUGGAGCCAUUAUUAUGCUAGUGUCCAUUGUGAUGCUCCUGGCAAGGGCAUUCUCCUAUUCCUAUGACCACAGAGCUUCCCCUUCCCCUUUGCCCUGAAGAUUCUCUCAUGGGACUAGUGUUUCAUUGAAUAACAUGUUGGUUAUGUGUAGCAUGCUGGUUACGUGUAGCAUGCUGGUUAUGUGUAGCAUGCUGGUUAUGUGUGGCAUGCUGGUUACGUGUAGUGUGCUGGUUACGCGUAGCAUCCUGGUUAUGUGAGGCAUGCUGGUUAGGAGCUCUAGGCUCAGGAUCUUGAUUCUGCCCUCUUUGGUUGCAUGAGCUGUGCAAGCUGCUUAACAUCUUUCAGGCUAACUUUCUAUAUUUGUAAAAUGGGAAACAGACUUCUUAGGAAGAUUUUAAGAGAUGUCUUACAGGACCUGGCAGAUAUAUGCUCAAUAAAAAGUAAACUAGCUGGUGUUGCUGCUGUUGCUCUUACUGUUGUUUUUAUUGACUUGAAUAAAGGAAUCUUGCACCUGUCAAAAUGAAACACUACAUAGUAGGUCCUGAUAUUUUGCCAUACUCAGCUGGUGAUAAGAAUCAGAGAAGCCAGCCAUUUGAAUAACUAUGAUUUAUUGAAUUCUUACCAUGUUCUAAGUUCUUUAUGUAUACUGUUUCGUUUAAUCUUCACAACAAUUCUAGGAGUCAGGUUCAAUUGUUAUUGCCAUUUGAUAGAUGAUGAGGGCAAUGAGUCUUAGAGAGGUUAAAUAAUUUGCUAAAGGCCACACAGCCUGUAAAGUGGCAGAAGCUGGGACCAUCCAACUCUAAAGCCCACAUUCUUAGACAUUAGGGGAUAUUGAAUGAAGUGUGUGUAUGUAUGGGGGAAUUUAAGAGAAUAUCAAACCAUUUGUAGAGUUCUACCCAAUAUAGAGACCUUAUCUAAUGUAAGAGAACUCUGAAGACAUCUCAUUGAUUGAAUGCUCUCCCCUUCAUAGCAACUUCUUCUGCGGCUUCCUUGCCUGGUGCUCCAGUCUUUGAGGGAAGCACGGCUGGCACGUUCUUCCGUUUGGAGACAUGGUUGACAAUUUCUCCAUAAUGGGGACACAACUGGCAAUUUUCCUACAGAGUGAGGCAGAUGGCAAUUUUCCUUCAGAGACAUGCAGGCAACAGUUUUGCCCCUGGAGAGAAAAGCCUCGCCGAUUGAGAUGCAGCCAGUAAUUUUUACUAUACAGAAGACACAUCCAAUAAUUUUGCCCAGUGAGAGAAACGGCCAACAAUUUUCCCACAGAGGGAAAAACAGACCAAAAAUUCAUAGUGGGGAGAAGUGAGGAGCAAAUGGGCUGGUAUGACCAAGAAAGACUUAAUAAGAAGCUGAGCCUUAAAUGAUCAAGAAGCACUGGAUAGAUAAGAGGAAUAAUCAUUUAUUAGCCAAGCGGGACUGGUGCCUUUUUGAGAACUGUCAUUCUGGAAAGAUAUUGAUUGAAGGAGGCCUCUGAGCACAUUCUCUCCAGCAGGCAGCCGUAAGGGAGGCGGCUGCAGUCCAGACAAGAUGAUGAGUUGGCAGUGAGCAUCUCGACAGGAGCCUAAUGAAGAAAUCUGGUAACAGCGAGGGCUGGCUUUAUGAGCGCUCAUAUUUGGUCUUUCACUCUCUGCAAGGUUGGUGAGUGGCAAAAGUGUCCAUGGGCCUCUACCUCCCACUGUGGAAUUACACAUUCCUACAGCCAGUGGGCUCCGGGAACCCAAUGGCAGCAUCCCCAGGCCCCUGGGCCCACUCCACACAUCACAGGCUAGAGACUUCUUGUCUGCCUCCUUUCUCACGUCUCUCCCCCUGAGAUAGCAUGCUCUCCCCUCCCUCCUUCCCUCUCAUAAUUUGUUCCCAACAGGUAGCUUUGUGCAGUUACUCCAAGAGAAGCCCGAACUCCCUGGGGAGCCUCUGCCCAGGUGGAAGAGCUCUCGAGUGGCUAUUAUUAGGGGUGAUUGCUGGGAAGCUGGUUGCCAUGGCACCGCAGAGGCCAGUGCUGAACUCCCAAGCUGCCCCGUUUCCAAGGCUGUCUACAUAAUCACUGCAAUGAGAGGCACAGGCACAGAAAGGGAGAGAGGAGCAGCUCCCCACUGACAGUGAUCUCCCUGCAGAGCAAGGUGAGCAGUUCACAGCUGAGUACGACAGCCCAUCUUGGCAUGGGCCAAGCACUGCCUGGAGGGACCCUGGUGUGAGCUGGUCACUGCUUCACUGUCUUCUCAUGGAUCAGGCAGUCUGCCUCUGUGUUCCCAGUACUGGUUUUCUACAGGAAAACACUGCUCCUAAUCCACUGAUCCAUUUCUUAAAGGUUCCUGGAGUUUGCAAACAUCGAGUAGUGAUAGUCUUCCA
RNAcentral lists this long non-coding RNA (2465 nucleotides) under Homo sapiens (human). RNAcentral describes it as "HSALNT0330048". Lineage: Eukaryota; Metazoa; Chordata; Mammalia; Primates; Hominidae. The record is from RNAcentral.